RNAcentral lists this ribosomal RNA (368 nucleotides) under uncultured bacterium. RNAcentral describes it as "bacterial SSU rRNA". It matches the Rfam family "Bacterial small subunit ribosomal RNA", at positions 29 to 399 of the family's 1533-position model. The record is from RNAcentral.
AUGAACGCUAGCGGGAGGCCUAAUACAUGCAAGUCGAACGGUAAAUGGUAGCAAUACUAUGAGAGUGGCGUACGGGUGCGUAACGCGUACACAACCUGCCUUGUACUGGGGGAUAGCCUCGGGAAACUGAGAUUAAUACCCCAUAAUUUUACGAAGUAGCAUUACUUUGUAAUUAAAGCUCCGGCGGUACAAGAUGGGUGUGCGUCCGAUUAGGUAGUUGGUGAGGUAACGGCUCACCAAGCCGACGAUCGGUAGCUGGUCUGAGAGGACGAUCAGCCACACGGGCACUGAGACACGGGCCCGACUCCGUACGGGAGCAGCAGUAGGGAAUAUUGGACAAUGGACGCAAGUCUGAUCCAGCCAUCCCG